This 497-nucleotide long non-coding RNA is filed under the name Rosa chinensis. RNAcentral's name for it is "sRNA RchiOBHm_Chr6g0283801". The record is from RNAcentral. Lineage: Eukaryota; Viridiplantae; Streptophyta; Magnoliopsida; Rosales; Rosaceae.
UAUAAAAGCAGGUUUUACAGAGACUUUUUUAACAUAAGAAAGUGAAAAGAACAUGUAGAUUUUCAUCUUUUUGGUUAAGAACGUGUAAAGGUUUCAGCUUUCCAAAGUCUAAUUAGUGUAUGUGUAUAUAUAGCAUUUGCUUAAACAAUUUAAUUCUUAUAAGCUCCCAUUAUGAGUUGUUGUUUGGUUUUGCUUGGGUUGCUUUGUAAGUUAUUGGACUGUUGAAUGAAUGGUGAAAGGAAGAUUGAUGUAAUUGCUUCCAUGUUCAUCAGUACUCGGCUUUUGUGGGUUAUGUCCUUAUAUCUCUUGGAAUAGGAAAUUGGAUAGUUGUUCUUGGAUGUAUAUGAAGGGUAACUGUGUUCAACAAUAAUUCUUCACUGCUAUGCUUCAAAGCAAUAAUUUCAUCUGUUCUUUGCUUUGUAUGUUGAUUUCAGCUAUAAAGAGGAGGUCUGGAAUCCAAAGAAGAAGGAUUUUUAGCAAAGAAAAGCUGCCCAGAA